UACGUAGGCGGCAAGCGUUGUCCGGAAUUACUGGGCGUAAAGCGCGUGUAGGCGGCCCUGCAAGUCGGAUGUGAAAUCCCACGGCUCAACCGUGGAAGUGCAUUCGAAACUGCAGGGCUAGAGUCCUGGAGAGGAAGGUGGAAUGCUUGGUGUAGAGGUGAAAUUCGUAGAUAUCAAGCGGAACACCGGUGGCGAAGGCGGCCUUCUGGACAGUGACUGACGCUGAGACGCGAAAGCGUGGGGAGCAAACAGG
Molecule: ribosomal RNA, 253 nt
Filed under: uncultured bacterium
Lineage: Bacteria
Description: partial 16S ribosomal RNA
Rfam family: Bacterial small subunit ribosomal RNA
Source: RNAcentral